This 248-nucleotide ribosomal RNA is filed under the name uncultured bacterium. RNAcentral's name for it is "partial 16S ribosomal RNA". It matches the Rfam family "Bacterial small subunit ribosomal RNA", at positions 523 to 769 of the family's 1533-position model. The record is from RNAcentral.
AUACGAAGGGGGCGUAGCGUUGCUCGGAAUGACUGGGCGUAAAGGGCGUGUAGGCGGUUGAUACAGUCAGAUGUGAAAUCCCCGGGCUUAACCUGGGAGCUGCAUUUGAGACGUAUUGGCUAGAGUGUGAGAGAGGGUUGUGGAAUUCCCAGUGUAGAGGUGAAAUUCGUAGAUAUUGGGAAGAACACCGGUGGCGAAGGCGGCAACCUGGCUCAUGACUGACGCUGAGGCGCGAAAGCGUGGGGAGG